CUGCUUGUCCAGCGAUGCUCCACUGUGUUAAUAAUACUGUUGGCGCACUCCAUCGUAUCUCCCCUUCCCAUAACUGUGAUAAGCGUACCCAAUCUGUGCGAUAGAACCGGUUUCCCGUCAGCUGUUAACCUUUGUACUUAGCCGUUUGCUGUUCGUCGCCAUGGCUGCUAGCCAAGCAGAAGGGGAGAACAGUUCCCCGAUCGUAAACCUGACAGAUUUAGGAGCAUUGCGAGGUACCAUAGGCACUGGUGCCUGGACAGGGCGUAAGUUCUAUCAAUUCUUGGGCGUACAUUACGCACAAUCGACUGCGGGUAAAAAUCGUUUCCAGCCUCCGAUAAAAGUAGACCCAUGGCAGGGAGUCAAAGAUGCAACCCGGCACGGUAUGCCAUGUCCACAGAUGAAGCUUAUUUCGCUAUUUACCGGGAAAGCGUUUGUGCCGGAUCCGGAAGAUUGUUUGACUGUGUCGAUCUACAGCUCAGAUCUGGCAGCUAAAAGACCCGUGAUGGUUUUCAUUCACGGUGGCGGAUUCCAUGAAGGUAGUGCCAAAAAUCAAACGGCUGAGUUUCUAAUGGAGCGCGAUGUUGUGCUUGUCACGGUCCAGUACCGGCUUGGUCCACUGGGAUUUCUUGCGACGAAGGACAUCCGGGGAAAUAUGGGUCUCAUGGAUAUGACACUUGCUCUGGAAUGGAUACAGGAGCACAUCGAAAGUUUCGGUGGCGAUCGGAACAAUGUCACGCUGUUUGGCCAAUCGGCUGGAGCGGCCGGCAUUUCUGCGCUUAUGUACAGUCCCCAAGUCCCAGAAGGAUUGUUCCACAAAGUUAUACUGCAAUCAGCCGGAUCCUCCUCACCGUGGGUAUGGGAUACGAACCCGCUUGACAGUGCGAGACAUAUUGCCUUCGAGUCUGGUUGGGACGAAUCGAAUACGCUUGAGGAGCAUUUUCAAGAGGUGGACGUUUGGACUCUUUUGCGUGGCUUUAUCGAUGCGAAGACGCAGACAAGCAUUUCACAAGGGUUGGAUCAUGUCGGUGGUAACCGUCUCGUUACGAACGAUUAUCGUGGCGCCUUUUUACCACAAACUCCUUGGGAAUGUAUGAAACAGGGCAAGAUAAGGAAGAACAUUCCCAUGAUGGCCGGCGUAACGAAGCACGAGGGUACAUUUCUGCUGACGACCGUGUACGAUCAUUUCAAGCGUACCGGUCAGCUGGAUGAUCCGAACUUUAUGAAAUACUUUCUAGUGGAUGCGGUGAACAAUUUUCUCGGAGCGCGUGAUCCUACCGGUGCAUUGGGUGGGUACGAGAUGCGAUCGUUGUUCACCGGAAAGGAGCUUGAAAGUGGUAACUUUGGUGAGCUGGCGGAUGGGUUGAUUGAUUUGGCAGGUACCAUAUUGAUCAAAGCGCCACUGUUACGUGAAGCUCAGGCAAAUGCUAGAGUGAACCCGAACGCCACAUUCCUGUAUUCGUUUGAUUAUGUCGGCGAACAAACCCGUUUUGGGUACGGUAGUGACACAUCGCACUAUCCGUUCGAUGGUGGCGUUCAUCAUUCGGACGAUAAACUGUACCUGUUCCCAUACCCACCGGGAAACCCGGUUGCGUUGAACGAGAAAGACACUGCCAUGGCAAAGCUGAUGGUGGAUCUGUGGACUUCCUUUGCAACGGAUGGGAUACCAAAAUCGGAACAUUUGACUGUUGCGUGGAACCCAAUGAAACAUUAUGCCGGACCGUACUUACACAUUAAUGAUCCGCUGAGCGUUGGUGAUAAUUUUUACGAAGAAUUUACUGUGGCAAGCGAUGAGAAACGGCGACGGAACAAGGAACAUGUAUAGUUCAACUAUAUAAUUUAAGUAAAACAAGCAACACAAACGGAGUGAAACAUUCAGCACAAAAAAACCAGGAGGAGAUUUUAAAGGUAUGUUUAAAGAGGGAAACGAUUUGUCCGAGUUGGUUGGAAGGACACUUUUUUUUCGCUGCGAAUCCUAUUCAAAUAAAUGUUGAGCUGCUGUCAGCUGCCAUUGUAAAAGGGAUCGCCAACAGUUCCGGAUGUAAAACGGGAGAGAAAGUUGGUAUAUGCGUGUGGAAAAUGGCAGGUUAUGACUCACACGAGAAUAUUAGGAGCUGGAAGUUGCUUUGCAGCAGCCACUGUACAGCAACCGGAUGUCACAGCAGCAUGCAGAACCCCAUACUGAUAAGGGCAUUAAGCAGAAAAGUGGUCAAUUAAACCUCACAAAAGUACACCCCAGGCAUCAGCCACGCAUUGCCCUCAAUCCUUUUUUUCACACCAACCCCAAGCUAAGGCGUCUUACCGUUCCUGCAGUGCGUCGGGGUCCUAAACCCGUACGAAAUUUGAUCUUCAAUUGUGGACUCCCAUCUCUCUGUCCCAUGCGUAUCUGUACACGCACCUUCCAUGUAAGUUAGAGCGAAUGAAAUACUUUUGGUCGGGUUGCCGUUGUAAGCCCACCCGCCGGUUCGCUAUACAUGGGAAUCGUUUUCCCACAUUUUUCUUUGAAUACUGGAACCAAAUUCCAGUAGCGAUGAGUAGAACUUGAGGUGUUUUGGGCUUCGUAAUCAUAAUUGAAUAUUAGCAAUUAAGUUAUGAAGGAUAAAAGGUUACAGUAACUGUUUUCAUGCUUAUUGAUUCACACGUAAAUUGAAUUUAUUAGAAGAAUAAUGAUUCUUUUUUUUCUGAUUAGAAAAAUAAUUAAUAAUGAUCACUUCUACAAGCUUCGAAACAUGUAGUUCGCUUGUAGUUCGUUGUCAUAAAGUACUAUAUGCGAAGUGUUAUUAUUUUGCUCGCCGUAUACAUUUCGACACCCUUUUUAUUUUGUACCGACCGCUAACCGAUCCUCAUCUCAAGUGAAGAACAUAAAAUGGAAAUAAAAAUUGAUCCGUAAAUGUUCACAUUUGAGGGAAUUUUGCGGGUUAGUACUUACUGCUAACAAAUGCAAUACAUAAGAAAAGUAUUGAACUCGACGGAACUAUAUGAGCGGAUGCGUGAAUUGAUGCUAAAAACGAUCUUACAAUUUUAUAAUAUUCGUAAUAUUUUCCUAACUUGUAGCCAUUCGAACAAAUAGGAACCAAUUUUAGGAAGAUUAUCAAGCUGUUUCGUUGUUUUUAUUAUUUAAUCUUUUUAUAUCUGUUUACACAUUAUUUUGUUUGAAUUAAAUUAAAUUAUAAAUUGUUUUGAUUUCUUAUAUUUUGUUUUAAAUUUUCUAGAUUUUUCUGUACAAUUAUAUAUUUCAAAUGUUAUAUUCGGGAUUGACUGAAUUUUAUAAUUUCAUAUCGCUUCAUAAUAUUAUUAAAGAUUGCGCCAACUUUAUCAUCGGUUAACAUCUUCUUUAUUUUCGUUUUUAGUUCUAAAUGUAUGGAUUCUUAACUGUCUGUACUUAACUAACCUUGAAGGAAUCGUUCAUUAGUUUUUUAGAAAUAUUUUUAUUGUUUUCCUUAAUGCGGUAGAAUAUGUUUUGUAAAAAUGUGGUACAACAUAAAAAAACUUUAUUGAGCUAAUAUAAAACAAAAAUGAAUAAUAACUUCAAUACAUACAGAGCAACAUUAUAAAAAAAAUAUUUUGUUCCUUAAGAACAUAAUAAAAACAAAUAAAAGUAAAAAAAACCAUAAAAACAAAUAAAAGAAACUAAACUAAAAAAAUAGAAUAGAAAACAACAUUCUAACAAUAAAAAUGAAACAUAACAGGGAAAAAUGAGUAAAAAUCUUAAAGAAUAAAACUCGUUUUGUAACAUUGAUAGAAACUAUCUCACGUUAACAUUUACUAACGUUGUUGUAGACAUGAGAUUAUGAAAGUUGAAAACUUAAGAUACACUGUUAGUUUCUCUUUAGUUAUUCUCUAGCAGCUAGCAGCUAGCAGUUACGAACUAAGUGGUUUAGUUAGUCCAGUUGUCAACGUUUUGGUCGUCUGAAUGGUGGCAUUUGCAGUCGCAUAACACCGGUAGUCGUGGAAAGUUUGUCCCUGUCUCGAUAACAUCGGGCGGGUAACAACGAUUCAGGGAUCGGAUUGCAGGGUAAAGUCAGAAAUAAUCGAGAACUGAGAACCAGCGCAAAAAUGCAAAAUAGUGCAAUCGAUUUAGUGCUUGAACAGCACUUGAUCCCGCGCGCUCGAGUGGAGAACGUCGUCGAGAACAAGGGUCCCGGGUUCCGCGACACCGCCAGCCCGAGUGCUAUCGAUGGAAUAUGAACGUGAACCACGAAAUUGUGACCUCAAGCACGCACUCCUUCAAACGGGACGCUGAACAUUACGACAGUGCACGGUGUAACCCUUCAGCGUAAAAAGGAGCAAAGGCUCGUUGGGGAGUUUUUUUUUUAUCCACCGAUGUAUAAUGUACGAUUAAAAUCUUGCGGAAGUGAACAAAAAAAAGUCCCAUUUCGCCCGCUAGCAAUAUUGUUUUUUUUUUAUUUUCCCAAUAUUGUUUGGUUGGUUUUUUUCUUUCUUUCCAUUCGGAUUACUCGGCCCCGAAACCCACUGUUUCUGUGGCCACACACAAUCCGUGGGACUUCCUGCUUUCGUCUUGCAAUUAAGACGUUGUGACGCUGUCGCCACUUGAGCCCGCGACCGGGAGGGAAGUUUGUCAAGUGAUGGAUUCUUUACUUCCGCUUUUUUUCCUUCACCAACGGCCAUUGUGAAGAAGUUAAUUUGUUGAUUCUUUCUUUUUUUUCUUUUUCGUUUUUUUAAAAGGAACCCAUCGCUCCCAUCGGAUUGGUUUCCUUUGUGUUGGGUUUGUUUUCAAAUGAUUUUUUUUUGCGUUUGGUGUGUUGUAUCCGAUUUACAAUGCACUUAUUUUCUCACCUUUUUCCAACAGACUGAAGGAAUUUUUUUUAAACUCCAACCGAAUCCUUCGUAUUACGCGGAUCUUGGUUGGGACCAGGCCAGUAGGUGCUUGACCGGAGCAGGGGUGAAAAACUUGUGAUCCGAUUAAUCGAAACUCUGGGAACCGUUUUCUUAAGCAUCACUUCAAACUAAUUGAUCUUUACUUAAUCUUGUCGGGAAAGGAGCGGACCCAUUUGCAUAUGAUACUGCCGGUGUGGGAUAUUUUCUUAUGCUGUUCAAAGUGUGUGUAUUUUUUUGAACGUAAUCUUAAGUGCGUCUAAAUUCCGGACGCAAUUGUAAAUCUUGAAGCACUUCAACCAAAAUCAAACAGAAUCGAUCGAUAAUGCUAUUGAGUAACAAUGGCGGAACUCCUUUUUCUUUCCAUAAAAAAUAAAAAGAAAAACCGCUGAAAAUGAUUUAUAGUUGAAAAGGUAAUACAAUUUGCAGCCAUUUUAAAUUACUUUCGGUUAUAUUUAAUUUUAAAAGUGAAAAGAAAAUAUGCAAAUAAAACGAUACGGUCUGAGGUUAGAAGGGGUGUCUACUAUAAAGAUUAGUAUGUGGAAAGGCGCGAGGGACUCAUGAAUUUGACUCCAUUGCUGAAAAAAAUAUUCUGAGGACUCCGGUACUCCUUAGUACUCCGAUUAUCGUGGACUGUGUUCUUUAGCAGCGUUAGCCUCAUCAACGCAGACGAUUAUGUUUUUGUUUCAGAAUAAAACCAUUUGUUUAUAGAUACAGGUUUUAUAUCAUAAUUAUAGUAAUUAACACUAUAAUUUUUUUUUUAAAUUAAUAGUAAAGCUUUAUAAAGGAAUUUAAAAAUCAAUU
Anopheles funestus (African malaria mosquito) is the source of this 5637-nucleotide RNA transcript. It is a transcript of the gene named glutactin-like, with no coding region annotated. The transcript has 8 exons. Lineage: Eukaryota; Metazoa; Arthropoda; Insecta; Diptera; Culicidae. The record is from RefSeq and is a predicted model, not a curated record.